CAGGCUGCAACUCGCCUGCACGAAGUCGGAAUUGCUAGUAAUCGUAGGUCAGCAUACUACGGUGAAUACGUUCCCGGGCCUUGUACACACCGCCCGUCAAACCAUGAGAGUUGGCAACACCCGAAGUCGGUAGUCUAACCGCAAGGAGGACGCCGCCGAAGGUGGGGUUNAUGAUUAGGGUUAAGUCGUAACAAGGUAAC
This 200-nucleotide ribosomal RNA is filed under the name uncultured bacterium. Its description in RNAcentral is "partial 16S ribosomal RNA". It matches the Rfam family "Bacterial small subunit ribosomal RNA", at positions 1301 to 1500 of the family's 1533-position model. The record is from RNAcentral.